CCUACGGGAGGCAGCAGUGAGGAAUAUUGGUCAAUGGGCGGAAGCCUGAACCAGCCAAGUAGCGUGCGGGAUGAAGGCCCUACGGGUCGUAAACCGCUUUUGCACGGGGAUAAAACCCUCCACUUGUGGAGGUCUGCAGGUACCGUGCGAAUAAGGGCCGGCCAAUUCCGUGCAAGCAGCCGCGGUAAGACGGAAGGCCCGAGAGUUAUCCUGAUUCAUGGGGCGUAAAGGGAGCGUAGGCGGGCGUUCAAGUCAGCUGUAAAAUCGCGCGGCUCAACCGCGCCCCGCAUUUGAAACUGGACGCUGUGAGUUCACAACAGGCAGGCUGAAUUCGUGGUGUAGCGGUGACAUGCAU
This 355-nucleotide ribosomal RNA is filed under the name uncultured bacterium. RNAcentral's name for it is "partial 16S ribosomal RNA". It matches the Rfam family "Bacterial small subunit ribosomal RNA", at positions 338 to 691 of the family's 1533-position model. The record is from RNAcentral.